GACGAACGCUGGCGGCGUGCCUAAUACAUGCAAGUUGAGCGAUGAAGCUUGGUGCUUGCUCCAAUUUGGAGAGCAGCGCACGGGUGAGUAACGCGUGGGGAAUCUGCCUUUGAGCGGGGGACAACAUCUGGAAACGAAUGCUAAUACCGCAUAACAACUUUAAACAUAAUUUUUAAGUUUGAAAGAUGCAAUUGCAGUACUCACUGAUGAUCUCGCGUUGUAUUAGCUAGUUGGUGAGGUAAAGGCUCACCAAGGCGAGGAUACAUAGCCCACCUGAGAGGGGGGUUGGCCAGAUUUGGACCGAGACCAGGCCCAAACGCCCUCGGGAGGGAGCAGGAGGGAAACGUCGGCAAGGGACGGAAGUCAUACCGAGAAACGCCGCGUGAGGGAAGAAGGUUGUCGGAUCGGAAAACACGGUUGUUAGGGAAGAAAGUUGUUUAGAGUGGAAAGCUCAUAAAGUGACGGUAACUACCCAGAAAGCGACGGCUAACUACGUG
This 497-nucleotide ribosomal RNA is filed under the name uncultured bacterium. Its description in RNAcentral is "partial 16S ribosomal RNA". It matches the Rfam family "Bacterial small subunit ribosomal RNA", at positions 28 to 507 of the family's 1533-position model. The record is from RNAcentral.